GGGCGGUGUGUACAAGGCAAGCAGGGCUAAACUGACAACAAAACUUGUACGGCGCUGCACAGGUGUUAGGCCAUAAAAGCUCAGGCAUAAAAUCGGCACCAGCCAAGCGCCAAACCAAUAACAACUCAACUGUGCCGCGUGCACAGAGAAAUGUAACAAGUGUAUCAGCAGAAGGUUUAGCAGUAACAGCACAACGAUGCUGUGCCAAUAGCCCCAGAACAGAGCAACGACGAAUUUGGCUAACGCAGCCAACAGGCGGACCUAAAAAUCAUGCGCGCAUGGUAUCUAACUUAGUCAGCUCGAGCAAGCGGCGUCUUGAUCUGAGACUUUUCAGUUAGCCGAAGCCGGCACCGAAUUAAUCAGAGGCUCCUUAGAACAACCAGCGCAGUCCCAGGUUGACGCCGGAGAUUUCGAACUCAUAGCGUUUAAAAUCCGAUACAAAAAACUCGCGCCCGAGCACUUCGGCUUGACCACUGCCGCUAUUAAAUGCCGCCUUGCUAUAGCGAUAUGUGGCGUACAACUGAGUUUGCUCGGACAGUGGAUAGCUGUACUCAAGCUCGACGCCAAGCCGAUAGCUAUCGGCGGUUUGAUAAAACUCGGCUUGUUGCUCUGUACUGCUAACGAUGUGAAAAGCAAAGCGCGUAUCGGCUUCUAGCUUUGUCAGACUCAGCGCCAAACCCAGAUUGCCAAACUCAAACUUGUGUUCGCUGCUGCCUUGUACACUCCGCC
Molecule: ribosomal RNA, 729 nt
Filed under: uncultured bacterium
Lineage: Bacteria
Description: partial 16S ribosomal RNA
Source: RNAcentral